This 148-nucleotide small RNA is filed under the name Macaca fascicularis (crab-eating macaque). RNAcentral describes it as "Metazoan signal recognition particle RNA (ENSMFAG00000059636.1)". The record is from Rfam by way of RNAcentral. Lineage: Eukaryota; Metazoa; Chordata; Mammalia; Primates; Cercopithecidae.
GCCAGGCGUGGUGGUGCAUGCCUGUAAUCCCAGCUACUCAGGAGGCUGAGGCAGAAGAAUCACUUGAACCCAGGAGGCGGAGGUUGCAGUGAGCUGAGAUCGCGCCACUGCACUCCUGCCUGGGCGGCAGAGUGAGACUCUGUCUCAA